CCUAACUCCACACGGCACGGUUGCCGUCAA
RNAcentral lists this small RNA (30 nucleotides) under Bombyx mori (domestic silkworm). Its description in RNAcentral is "ovarian small RNA-13940". Lineage: Eukaryota; Metazoa; Arthropoda; Insecta; Lepidoptera; Bombycidae. The record is from RNAcentral.